GACGGGUGAGUAACGCGUGGGUAACCUGCCUCAUACGGGGGGAUAACAGUUGGAAACGGCUGCUAAUACCGCAUAAGCGCACAGGAUCGCAUGAUCUGGUGUGAAAAACUCCGGUGGUAUGAGAUGGACCCGCGUCUGAUUAGCCAGUUGGCAGGGUAACGGCCUACCAAAGCGACGAUCAGUAGCCGACCUGAGAGGGUGACCGGCUACAUUGGGACUGAGACACGGCCCAAACUCCUACGGGAGGCAGCAGUGGGGAAUAUUGCACAAUGGGGGAAACCCUGAUGCAGCGACGCCGCGUGAGCGAAGAAGUAUUUCGGUAUGUAAAGCUCUAUCAGCAGGGAAGAAGAAUGACGGUACCUGACUAAGAAGCACCGGCUAAAUACGUGCCAGCAGCCGCGGUAAUACGUAUGGUGCAAGCGUUAUCCGGAUUUACUGGGUGUAAAGGGAGCGUAGACGGCAAGGCAAGUCUGAAGUGAAAGCCCGGUGCUUAACGCCGGGACUGCUUUGGAAACUGUUUGGCUGGAGUGCCGGAGAGGUAAGCGGAAUUCCUAGUGUAGCGGUGGAAUGCGUAGAUAUUAGGAAGAACACCAGUGGCGAAGGCGGCUUACUGGACGGUAACUGACGUUGAGGCUCGAAAGCGUGNGGAGCAAACAGGAUUAGAUACCCUGGUAGUCCACGCCGUAAACGAUGAUUG
RNAcentral lists this ribosomal RNA (697 nucleotides) under uncultured bacterium. RNAcentral's name for it is "bacterial SSU rRNA". It matches the Rfam family "Bacterial small subunit ribosomal RNA", at positions 100 to 815 of the family's 1533-position model. The record is from RNAcentral.